UGAACUCAUAUACAUGUAUAUAUACACAUAUUCCCGUCCAUAAUAUCAUAGGGAAUGACCAAAGUGCCUUUAAAAUUUAAAUAAUGUCAAAUCUGUCCUUUGGUGGACUGUUUUGAUAAGCUAAAGUAGAUCGACCAUAACUCUUUGCUCCGAUAUCGGAUUUGGGUGAAAUUGGUAUCGUUGGAAAGAUAAUUCAAAGGGAUUUCAUUUCAUAUAAAGUAGGCCACCCAGUUCUUCCUGUACAAGGAGUUAUGGUCCUUUGAAG
This 265-nucleotide long non-coding RNA is filed under the name Capsicum annuum. RNAcentral describes it as "long non-coding RNA (CANN_LNC001818)". Lineage: Eukaryota; Viridiplantae; Streptophyta; Magnoliopsida; Solanales; Solanaceae. The record is from RNAcentral.